Molecule: non-coding RNA, 86 nt
Organism: Acanthosepion pharaonis
Lineage: Eukaryota; Metazoa; Mollusca; Cephalopoda; Sepiida; Sepiidae
Source: the annotation of a GenBank genome assembly
GCGUUGAAACACCGGGUGCCGUACGAUCAUGGAAGUUAAGCAACGUCGAGCCUGGUUUGUACUUAGAUGGGUGACUAGCUUGGGAA